AGUGAACGCUGGCGGUAGGCCUAACACAUGCAAGUCGAACGGCAGCACAGUAAGAGCUUGCUCUUACGGGUGGCGAGUGGCGGACGGGUGAGGAAUACAUCGGAAUCUACUUUUUCGUGGGGGAUAACGUAGGGAAACUUACGCUAAUACCGCAUACGACCUACGGGUGAAAGCAGGGGAUCUUCGGACCUUGCGCGAUUGAAUGAGCCGAUGUCGGAUUGGCUAGUUGGCGGGGUAAAGGCCCACCAAGGCGACGAUCCGUAGCUGGUCUGAGAGGAUGAUCAGCCACACUGGAACUGAGACACGGUCCAAACUCCUACGGGAGGCAGCAGUGGGGAAUAUUGGACAAUGGGCGCAAGCCUGAUCCAGCCAUACCGCGUGGGUGAAGAAGGCCUUCGGGUUGUAAAGCCCUUUUGUUGGGAAAGAAAAGCAGCAGGUUAAUACCCCGCUGUUCUGACGGUACCCAAAGAAUAAGCACCGGCUAACUUCGUG
This 492-nucleotide ribosomal RNA is filed under the name uncultured bacterium. RNAcentral describes it as "partial 16S ribosomal RNA". It matches the Rfam family "Bacterial small subunit ribosomal RNA", at positions 29 to 507 of the family's 1533-position model. The record is from RNAcentral.